GUAGGGUGCGAGCGUUAAUCGGAAUUACUGGGCGUAAAGCGUGCGCAGGCGGUUGGUUAAGUCUGAUGUGAAAGCCCCGGGCUCAACCUGGGAAUGGCAUUGGAAACUGUCCAGCUGGAGUGUGGCAGAGGGGGGUGGAAUUCCGCGUGUAGCAGUGAAAUGCAUAGAGAUGCGGAGGAACACCGAUGGCGAAGGCAGCCCCCUGGGCCAACACUGACGCUCAGGCACGAAAGCGUGGGGAGCAAACAGGAUUAGAUACCCUGGUAGUCCACGCCCUAAACGAUGAAUGCUUGGUGUGGCGGGUAUCGAUCCCUGCCGUGCCGAAGCUAACGCAUUAAGCAUUCCGCCUGGGGAGUACGGUCGCAAGGCUG
RNAcentral lists this ribosomal RNA (371 nucleotides) under uncultured bacterium. Its description in RNAcentral is "bacterial SSU rRNA". It matches the Rfam family "Bacterial small subunit ribosomal RNA", at positions 527 to 896 of the family's 1533-position model. The record is from RNAcentral.